Trachemys scripta elegans is the source of this 410-nucleotide long non-coding RNA. RefSeq lists it as uncharacterized. The record is from RefSeq and is a predicted model, not a curated record. The transcript is spliced from 4 exons. Lineage: Eukaryota; Metazoa; Chordata; Testudines; Emydidae.
GGUAGUUUCCCGUCAAAAGGCGGGCGCGGGGAGGUGACUGGCGGGGAGCAGUUGGCGCUGGGGCAUCGGGACGCAGACUGCCCACCUUGUUGCUAGGAUUAUAUACCCCUUGCUUGGCGUGUCAGUAGGUGCCAACAUAAGUCUUCUGUAUCCUGACUCUGAAACAUUCGUGUUGAUAGAGCAUUGGUUCAUCCAGAACAUAUCCCUGUUCAUCACAUUUCUUAAGAACUGAAAGUGCUUGGAUUAUAUUGAUUGUUCCAUGUCACAACUUCAGAACUGUUGGGGAGUAUACCAGGACGGUGUGACGCAUGUUCUGGAUGCCGGUAAAGUAGUUUUGUUUUUGUUUUUUCUCUCUUACAGAAGGAAUAUCUGUCUGUAGUGGGAUGCCUAUUGCUUGCUUCUGCAGUAUG